UUGUGCGUGCGAAGACUUGAUUUUCAUUCAUUCAGAGACAAACGAAAAACAUAGUACAAAGGUGAGAUUCAAAGAUCUAAAGUUUUGUAAAUGAAAAGGAAAGACACUCACAAAUGAACAUAAAGAUUGUAAAGAUAAUUCGACUUUUUCUCUACAAACACUUGAAGGCAAUAGCUAGAUAGCUUCUUGGCACAAGCAAAUUCAUGGUUAGGCGUGGGCACUUCCACGAGUACUUCGGGAAGUGAAAGAUUAGUCACGGUUGUGUGACAAAGUGACGUUGAGGACGGUUCCAAAACCUGAUUACGCUCUUUUUGGGCAAUAAUCCUUUGGUCUUUGGAUUCUUCCACAUUAAUGGGGUCAAUGAGGGAGUCUUAUACCAGAUAUUCAACAAGUUACUCGUACUCUUCAUUCAAAUUGAUAAUAUUUGUGGUGGAUUGAUAAAUGUUGCACCU
This is a long non-coding RNA of Arabidopsis thaliana (thale cress), 452 nucleotides long. RefSeq annotates it as other RNA. Lineage: Eukaryota; Viridiplantae; Streptophyta; Magnoliopsida; Brassicales; Brassicaceae. The transcript has a single exon. The record is from RefSeq.